This 403-nucleotide ribosomal RNA is filed under the name uncultured bacterium. Its description in RNAcentral is "partial 16S ribosomal RNA". It matches the Rfam family "Bacterial small subunit ribosomal RNA", at positions 30 to 526 of the family's 1533-position model. The record is from RNAcentral.
AUUGAACGCUGGCGGCAGGCCUAACACAUGCAAGUCGAGCGAGCGGCGGCCGGGUGAGUAAUGUAUGGGGACUGCCCGAUAGCGGGGGAUAACUACUGGAAACGGUGGCUAAUACCGCAUACUAUCGGAUAACCCAUAUGGGAUUAGCUAGUAGGUGGGGUAAAGGCUCACCUGGGCGACGAUCGCUAGCUGGUCUGAGAGGAUGAUCAGCCAAAUGGGGACGGGGACACGGCCCAGACUCCUACGGAGGCAGCAGUGGGGAAUAUUGGACAAUGGGCGCAAGCCUGAUGCAGCCAUGCCGCGUGAGUGAAGAAGGUUUUCGGAUCGUAAAACUCUGUUGUUAGAGAAGCGGUAUCUAACCAGAAAGCCACGGCUAACUACGUGCCAGCAGCCGCGGUAAUAC